GACUAGUAAACUCCUUAUUUUCAGAACUAUUACAAUUCUUUUUUUAAGGGAGCCGUCAUCGUCUCGGGCUCUCCGGCCUCGGUUCUUUCCUUGUCUCCUUCUUCGAUCCUCUUGUCUCCUUGUCUCGGCGCGGCCGACUGCCGGAGCACCUUCUCCAGCCCAUGGACGCGGACGGGCGACUACCUUACCGGCACCUGCGUGCGGCUCUGUGCCUACGGCGCCCGGCUGGGCAUGCGGCCAGCCUGGUCGCGCCACCGUAGCGGACGGGGCGAGGUCGCCCAUACGUGUGCCGGUUCCCGAACGGGGGACACUUAAGCUCAAGCUCAAGUAAAGGUCAAGUCGGCCGCUGUUGACCAUUAGGCUCAGGCCAUUCUUGAUACUCGAGGGGCUACUUAUUUUCGCGGACGCGCCCUCGUCGCCGAGGUUGAGCUAAGCAAGCGGAGGGAGGGUCUAGAGGUCUAGGUUAGGUCCUCUGCGGUAGCUACCGCCGCUUCCACGAGGUCGAGGCAUCGAGGCUGUCGUUCCACGAGCAGCGAGGCCGCACCCUGAUAGCGGGCCGGCGGCGGGUUCGGGAGGGCGACCUCUGCGCCCACGGGAGCGCGCAGGAGCUCUCCCACGAGGUCAUGACCUGGUUCGUGUUGGAACGGUUCCGGUGGCCACUCAGGGCCCUCGGGGAGCGGUCGACCCUGCGACUGAAGGUCGCGGCAGAGGUCCUUCUGCCGGAGCGGUUCCUCCGGCGACGUCGGCGGGUUCUUGAGACGGCGAUACCGCAGCUGGUACCUCCCGCAGGGGUAGCGGUGCGGCGGUGCCGGCGUAGACUGCAGCUACGAGGACAGUUCCGCCGGGCACGAUUAGGGCAGGCACGGACCACGGGUGAACAAGUGGUGGAGUUCCCACAGUUGGUACCUCUUGCGUCGGGCCGCGGACGCCACAGGUCGUGGAAGGUACGGAGACUAUAGCGGCGGCGGCGCGCGGGACCCGGACGGUGGUGGAACGGCCGACGACGACCACGACUGGGGCACCUGCAGGCCACGCGGUAGGCACGGGCACCUGCGGUCUACCGACUUCUGCUCCUCAGGCGAACGGUGGUGGCGUUCGCGGGCCGAAGGUUCCGAGGUGAGAUGGACGGACGGUGACGACAACGCGGACACUUCUUCCAGAGAGCAGGGCAGCGAAGGUUCCGAGCGAGAAAGCAGCCGAGUUGUGGUAACGGACAGUGACGACGACGCGGGCCACACUUCUUCUGCUGAGGUCGAAGUUGAGACGCGCGUUCUUCCCCCUACCCCCUCGAGUCGACGUUCCAAGGCUUCGUUUAGGCACGGUGGCGACGUCGUGGUUACUUCGUUGGUUAAGGAACCCACGCAGGUCACCAUAAUGCGGAAGGGAUCAGAAAAUCAACGAAGGAUUUGGUACGUGUGUACUCAAAGUAAAUUAGAAACGUAGAGAUCCAAGACGUGAAUUGGUGGUUCUAAAGAUCACAAGAAACUUAAGGAAAGUCAGUAAUCAUUAAAAUGUUCUCACAGUCGUCUCAGAGGUAGAUCGAUCCGUCGUUUUUGGAACAAUUCUACACAUGCUGUAUCAAUGGUGACGUAGGUAUGGACCAGGAUUCAAUUCCCAAAUUCAUUUAUUUCCCGUAAAAGUUAUUUAGUUUCAUUUCGUCUACUCGGAUUUUUCCUUUGAGUACAUGACGUUAAGUCCGUGCUCUGUCUCGCAUUUUGCGUGAGCGGCGUUUUAGGUUUUGUGGGCAAACGAUGGGCCGAACAUCGUCCUUUUUCCUCAUCUUAACUUGAACAGCUAUGUGUGCAUUAGUACACUCGACGGAUCGCAAACCUCUGAUACGACUGAGAGGACAUUUUAAUUAGAACCGACUUAACCUAAAAAUCCGUAACCGUAGAAUCACUCAAUUUCAACGUCAAAGGCUUCUCAUUGUAACCAAUCACUUGAGAACACACAUACACACCCACUUCGAAACUCGAUUCGUUCAGGAACUACAUGGCUGAUAGUUCAGUAUGACAUUAGUUAAAACCUAUACUUACUCUUUUAACAACCGGACUUAAAACGUCUCGUAAACUCAUUAGAAAAGCAUAGAUAAAAGAAUUUCGUAAGACGACGAGUGACUCCGUGUCUAGGUUACCCAAGUAGAGACUAAAGUGCUAUGAAGCAAACUCACCACUACGUGUAUUGGUACAAACCCUUCUAAAAAACCAAACUCUAUGUCGUGAGAUUAUCAGUUCUAACACUUUUUCCACCGUAGUAUAACGUCGGUAGACAGUUUGAGAUGUGGUAGGAACUUCUUCCAGAGAGCAGGGUAGCGAAGGUUCCGAACCACAAGGAAACCGAGAUGUGGUGACGGACAGUGACGACGAAGUGGAUCGCACUUCUUCCACUGAGGUCAAAGUUGAGACGUACGAGCUUCCCCUUACGCCCUAGAGUCGACGUUUUAGGGCUUCGUUUUGGUAUAACAACAACGAAGUGGUUUGUUCGUUGGAAAGACCUCAGGCACACCCACUUGGAAGCUCAAUUCGUUCAGGAGUUACAUGGCUCAAUGCUCAGUACAACAUUAUUUUUAAAGUCUAUACUUACUUUUAAGA
This 2591-nucleotide ribosomal RNA is filed under the name Triticum aestivum (bread wheat). RNAcentral describes it as "partial small subunit ribosomal RNA". Lineage: Eukaryota; Viridiplantae; Streptophyta; Magnoliopsida; Poales; Poaceae. The record is from RNAcentral.